GACGAACGCUGGCGGCGUGCUUAACACAUGCAAGUCGAACGGAAAGGCCCUGCUUUUGUGGGGUGCUCGAGUGGCGAACGGGUGAGUAACACGUGGGUAACCUGCCCUUGACUUUGGGAUAACUUCAGGAAACUGGGGCUAAUACCGGAUAGGAGCUCCUGCUGCAUGGUGGGGGUUGGAAAGUUUGGGCGGUUGGGGAUGGACUCGCGGCUUAUCAGCUUGUUGGUGGGGUAGUGGCUUACCAAGGUUUUGACGGGUAGCCGGCCUGAGAGGGUGACCGGCCACAUUGGGACUAGGAUACGGCCCGGACUCCUACGGGGGGCAGCAGUGGGGAAUAUUGCACAAUGGGCGGAAGCCUGAUGCAGCAACGCCGCGUGCGGGAUGACGGCCUUCGGGUUGUAAACCGCUUUCGCCUGUGACGAAGCGUGAGUGACGGUAAUGGGUAAAGAAGCACCGGCUAACUACGUG
Molecule: ribosomal RNA, 468 nt
Filed under: uncultured bacterium
Lineage: Bacteria
Description: partial 16S ribosomal RNA
Rfam family: Bacterial small subunit ribosomal RNA
Source: RNAcentral